Molecule: long non-coding RNA, 758 nt
Organism: Astyanax mexicanus (Mexican tetra)
Lineage: Eukaryota; Metazoa; Chordata; Actinopteri; Characiformes; Acestrorhamphidae
Exons: 5
Source: RefSeq, a predicted model, not a curated record
AAAAGAGCGGACUUUCACUGUAGAGGAGUUACUGAGACUCACACACAGCGCCACCUGCCGCCCCCCGAGCUCACUGAUACACUGACGCCUUCAGAACGAUAAGAGUGAGGCCUCUUCCUGCCUGACUGUGGGGCCCUUUGUCUCGGGCGGCUCCUCAGGGAACAGAGGCCACUACCCUGCACUACCUGAUGGCUCCUUAGCGUGAGGAGCGCAAAGAGGAAGCAGGCCAGUCACGGGAAAGCAACAAAUAGCAGAGCUGACUGACAGUUAAAAGCUGGGAAAGUACCCAGAGCAAGAUGGUGUGAUUUUGAGUGAGGUGACCAAACUUUUGCAAGCCACUUGUGCACGUGUGCCUGAGUGUGUGUGUCAAGGUCAACUAGACAAGAGGUUAUGAACAGCCUGCGUGAAGAGGAAGCCUGUGGGUGUGGGUUCAUACCAAACAGCAGACAGUAGCAGAUUACAGGCAACAAAGGUGUCAACUGUGAUGCAGUAUGGCUGAACUUUUACCCAUUUACAAUAAAAUUUGCUUUACCCACUCAAAGUGUGUUGGAGGUUCUAAUAAAAUAAAUUAAAGGAAUUUAAUUAUAUAAAUCAAAUAUUUUUAGAUUAUAUUUAAUCAAAUAGUCAAAUAAAUUUGAUUAAAUAAAUUACUGUUUUAAUGUGUGUACGUAGUGCUAGACAAUAUGGCAAAAAAUUAUAUCACAAUAUAUUUCUUAAUUUCGGUCAAUACAAUAUAGUUUUAAUAUCACUAUGAACAG